Molecule: non-coding RNA, 43 nt
Organism: Schistosoma haematobium
Lineage: Eukaryota; Metazoa; Platyhelminthes; Trematoda; Strigeidida; Schistosomatidae
Source: Rfam
AUCCAGCUGACGAGUCCCAAAUAAGACGAAACGUGCCUUGGAU